Molecule: transfer RNA, 75 nt
Filed under: bacterium CG_4_10_14_0_2_um_filter_33_32
Lineage: Bacteria
Also listed under: 3 other names
Description: tRNA-Arg
Rfam family: tRNA
About the family: Transfer RNA (tRNA) molecules are approximately 80 nucleotides in length. Their secondary structure includes four short double-helical elements and three loops (D, anti-codon, and T loops). Further hydrogen bonds mediate the characteristic L-shaped molecular structure. tRNAs have two regions of fundamental functional importance: the anti-codon, which is responsible for specific mRNA codon recognition, and the 3' end, to which the tRNAs corresponding amino acid is attached (by aminoacyl-tRNA synthetases). tRNAs cope with the degeneracy of the genetic code in two manners: having more than one tRNA (with a specific anti-codon) for a particular amino acid; and 'wobble' base-pairing, i.e. permitting non-standard base-pairing at the 3rd anti-codon position.
Source: RNAcentral
GCCCUCGUGGUGAAAUGGAUAUCACACGAGUCUUCGGAACUCGGUUUGGGGGUUCGAAUCCCUCCGAGGGCACCA